GGAAGUAAAAGUCGUAACAAGAUUUCCGUAGGUGAACCUGCGGAAGGAUCAUUACUGAGUGAGGGCCCCUCGGGGUCCAACCUCCCACCCGUGUUUAACGAACCUUGUUGCUUCGGCGGGCCCGCCUCACGGCCGCCGGGGGGCAUCUGCCCCCGGGCCCGCGCCCGCCGAAGCCACCUGUGAACGCUGUCUGAAGUAUGCAGUCUGAGACAAUUAUUAAAUUAAUUAAAACUUUCAACAACGGACCUCUUGGUUCCG
RNAcentral lists this unclassified non-coding RNA (258 nucleotides) under plant metagenome. Its description in RNAcentral is "partial contains small subunit ribosomal RNA and internal transcribed spacer 1". The stretch from base 1 to 54 matches the Rfam family "Eukaryotic small subunit ribosomal RNA", at positions 1778 to 1831 of the family's 1831-position model. The record is from RNAcentral.